Molecule: non-coding RNA, 1857 nt
Organism: Danio rerio (zebrafish)
Lineage: Eukaryota; Metazoa; Chordata; Actinopteri; Cypriniformes; Danionidae
Source: RefSeq, a predicted model, not a curated record
CAGACAUCAUUUUUUUAGUGUGCUUCGUAAUUGGAAAUGUGUUAUUAUAGGCCUAUUAAUAAAUUUGAAACCCCUUAAAAUAUAUAUACAGUUAGAUACAAAUCUUAGAUACAUUUAACUAACGAACGUUAAAACGGCUUGCCAUACAAAAGCUUUUUUUCCAGCGCCCAUUAAUGGUUUUGAUAUUCACAUUUCCGCCGCCCAAUGAAAUCUCCCAGAAAUCUUUUUAAUAACGCGUUCUCGCUCACUCAGUCACAGUUUUCAUCAUACUGCUGACAUGGAAGCGCUGUUGGAUUACGUUGUUCGUAUUGGCAGUGGCAAUGAUCAGACACUUGAUGCAGGAUCUGCAGUUCUCUUUAACUUCAUCUUUGAAUGGCUUCAUCAACACUUAGACAAAGAAGCUGAAAUAACCUGUUGGUUACAAAAUAAUUUGGGUAUUGUUGAGAAAAGUGACCCCAGCCAUAAAGAUGCAAUCGAGUGUAUGGUGAGGAUUGCAAAUGAAAUGGAAGGAAAUGAAGAACUACAAGGGAUGUUAAAUAGCGCUCUCUUAAAUCCAACUCUAGAACACUACAUCCUUGUGGUCAAUGGGACCUUCUCUGAUGUGACAUUAAGCUGGGGCUGCUGAAAUCAACUCUGUUGACUUGGUCAGAAGCAUUAUAAACUGGACUAUGCCUUUUAUUAGAAAGACCUGCAUUUUAACCUGGAUCAGGGAACAGGGUGGAUGGGGCGCAAUCCGCUCAUAUUUCGGGACCCCCACCUGGCAGACAGUUGGAGUUUUCCUUGCUGGAGUUCUUACUGUAGGCUUGGUGCUCUACAAAAUGUGAACCCGAGGAUGACAAAGUGGAAUAACAGAGAGUCGAGACAUUGAGGCUGAAACAGACCAGCAAAAUAUAAUGGAAGGAUAAGGGUGAAGAGAAAGUUGAAAAAAGAAAGAUGACACAUUGUCUCAAGCCACUUUUGUUACCCCUAUUCUUCUGCUGUGAUUAUUUUGCUUUUUAAAUCUUGAACAAUUAUGUCUUUUAAUUAAAUAUUUAAUUUUAAAAUUUGCACAUUUACACCAAGGAAUGCAUGGGUGAUUCAGAGUUAGGCUUAAUUUUGGCCAUUUAUUUUUUUAUUUGGAACAGGUUUCAUGGUAUUUUUAUUACUAAUGCCAAAGCGUCAUCUAUCAUUAAUCUUUUUACAUAAUUUUAAUUCUUUGAAAACCUUUUAAACUUUUCUAGGCUUUUCACGAAAAUAAAACAAGCUAAUCUGCAGACCAUGCAGACAAAAAGUUGAUUAUUCAAACUGCUCUUAAAUAAUUUGCAAACAAAUGAAUCACAAAGGCUGUAUCUCCAUAAAACAUGUGUGUAAUGACGACCAUAACAUCCAGUGGUCAGUCUUUAAAAAGAACAACCAGCCAAUCAGGCUACAGUAUGUGGGAGUGUCUUGGCAAGAACGUCCUAUAACAGGAAAGGACAGAACUAGUGACCUAAAAUAAUUUUUAACUUCACUAAGCCACGCUGAUACUUUUUACACAAAUAAAUCAUUUCCUUUUUGAUUACUGAAAGAGCCAGUGAAACUUUCCAAAGCAGAUUCAUUUCUCAUCUGGGAUUUAAUAAAACACAGGUAGUUUGGCUGGAACUAGUGCAAAGAAUGAGUAAGAGUUAGUCAAGAGGUCCAGACCUGACAAACAGAUGAUAUGAGCUCUUCCCCUUAGCAAAGGGGUACUGUAGUACUGUAUUUUCACCAUUGUAAGUCAGACCUAUAAUCUGAACUUUUUUAUUCUAUGUAUUUUUUGGUCUAUGUAAUAUGAGCCCAUGAGUUUGUUUUGCUUUGUUUUUGUACGAAUAAAUAAAUACUUUUUUCACAUAUUAAAAA